This is a long non-coding RNA of Prionailurus viverrinus (fishing cat), 299 nucleotides long. RefSeq lists it as uncharacterized. The transcript has 2 exons. Lineage: Eukaryota; Metazoa; Chordata; Mammalia; Carnivora; Felidae. The record is from RefSeq and is a predicted model, not a curated record.
CAGACUUUCUACAGCAACAUGAAGGUGGGGGGCUUCCUCCUCCUGGUGAUGCUCAUCACCCUCAGCUUGGAGGUGCAGGAGCUCCAGGCUGCGGUGAGGCCACUGAAAUUGUUGGAUGAAGAUUUAUCUUAAGGGUCAUCCUUCUCUAAUAAUUUCUCAUCACUUCCUAUCUUCAAAGAUGUGACUGGAACUCCUUGCCCUGGAAGACAGAUGAAAAUGGGGACCUGUGGAUGGAGAUUACAUGUGGUGGGGAAGGAAAAAGAGUCACUUCUUUCAAUAAAUCAUCAUUGUUAAAAGUA